Molecule: ribosomal RNA, 253 nt
Filed under: uncultured bacterium
Lineage: Bacteria
Description: partial 16S ribosomal RNA
Rfam family: Bacterial small subunit ribosomal RNA
Source: RNAcentral
UACAGAGGUGGCAAGCGUUGUUCGGAAUUACUGGGCGUAAAGGGCGCGUAGGCGGCCAUCUAAGUCAGACGUGAAAUCCCCCGGCUUAACCUGGGAACUGCGUCUGAUACUGGAAGGCUCGAGUUUGGGAGAGGGAUGUGGAAUUCCAGGUGUAGCGGUGAAAUGCGUAGAUAUCUGGAGGAACACCGGUGGCGAAGGCGGCAUCCUGGACCGACACUGACGCUGAGGCGCGAAAGCCAGGGGAGCAAACGGG